RNAcentral lists this ribosomal RNA (253 nucleotides) under uncultured bacterium. Its description in RNAcentral is "partial 16S ribosomal RNA". It matches the Rfam family "Bacterial small subunit ribosomal RNA", at positions 524 to 776 of the family's 1533-position model. The record is from RNAcentral.
UACGUAGGGGGCAAGCGUUGUCCGGAAUUACUGGGCGUAAAGGGCUCGUAGGCGGCCAACUAAGUCAAACGUGAAAUCCCUCGGCUUAACCGGGGAACUGCGUCUGAUACUGGAUGGCUUGAGUUCGGGAGAGGGAUGCGGAAUUCCAGGUGUAGCGGUGAAAUGCGUAGAUAUCUGGAGGAACACCGGUGGCGAAGGCGGCAUCCUGGACCGACACUGACGCUGAGGAGCGAAAGCCAGGGGAGCAAACGGG